Molecule: ribosomal RNA, 197 nt
Filed under: Escherichia sp. enrichment culture DGGE band D5
Lineage: Bacteria; Pseudomonadati; Pseudomonadota; Gammaproteobacteria; Enterobacterales; Enterobacteriaceae
Description: partial 16S ribosomal RNA
Rfam family: Bacterial small subunit ribosomal RNA
Source: RNAcentral
UCUCCUACGGGAGGCAGCAGUGGGGAAUAUUGCACAAUGGGCGCAAGCCUGAUGCAGCCAUGCCGCGUGUAUGAAGAAGGCCUUCGGGUUGUAAAGUACUUUCAGCGGGGAGGAAGGGAGUAAAGUUAAUACCUUUGCUCAUUGACGUUACCCGCAGAAGAAGCACCGGCUAACUCCGUGCCAGCAGCCGCGGUAAU